GCGCCUCUAGCUCAACUGGCAGAGCACUUGACUCUUAAUCAAUAGGUUCCGGGUUCGAGUCCCGGGGGGCGCA
This 73-nucleotide transfer RNA is filed under the name Citricoccus muralis. RNAcentral describes it as "tRNA-Lys". It matches the Rfam family "tRNA". From Rfam's summary of the family: Transfer RNA (tRNA) molecules are approximately 80 nucleotides in length. Their secondary structure includes four short double-helical elements and three loops (D, anti-codon, and T loops). The record is from RNAcentral. Lineage: Bacteria; Bacillati; Actinomycetota; Actinomycetes; Micrococcales; Micrococcaceae. RNAcentral also lists the same sequence under 1 other name.